This 253-nucleotide ribosomal RNA is filed under the name uncultured bacterium. RNAcentral describes it as "partial 16S ribosomal RNA". It matches the Rfam family "Bacterial small subunit ribosomal RNA", at positions 524 to 776 of the family's 1533-position model. The record is from RNAcentral.
UACGUAGGGGGCGAGCGUUGUCCGGAAUCAUUGGGCGUAAAGCGCGUGUAGGCGGCCCGGUAAGUCCGCUGUGAAAGUCCAGGGCUCAACCCUGGGAUGCCGGUGGAUACUGUCGGGCUCGAGUCCGGAAGAGGCGAGUGGAAUUCCUGGUGUAGCGGUGGAAUGCGCAGAUAUCAGGAGGAACACCAAUAGCGAAGGCAGCUCGCUGGGACGUUACUGACACUGAGGCGCGAAAGCGUGGGGAGCGAACAGG